This 86-nucleotide transfer RNA is filed under the name bacterium. RNAcentral describes it as "tRNA-Leu". It matches the Rfam family "tRNA". Rfam says of the family: Transfer RNA (tRNA) molecules are approximately 80 nucleotides in length. Their secondary structure includes four short double-helical elements and three loops (D, anti-codon, and T loops). Further hydrogen bonds mediate the characteristic L-shaped molecular structure. tRNAs have two regions of fundamental functional importance: the anti-codon, which is responsible for specific mRNA codon recognition, and the 3' end, to which the tRNAs corresponding amino acid is attached (by aminoacyl-tRNA synthetases). tRNAs cope with the degeneracy of the genetic code in two manners: having more than one tRNA (with a specific anti-codon) for a particular amino acid; and 'wobble' base-pairing, i.e. permitting non-standard base-pairing at the 3rd anti-codon position. The record is from RNAcentral.
GCCGGGGUGGCGGAAACGCAGACGCGCCGGACUCAAAAUCCGGUGGGGUUGCCCCCGUGAGGGUUCAAAUCCCUCCCCCGGCACCC